Molecule: ribosomal RNA, 301 nt
Filed under: uncultured bacterium
Lineage: Bacteria
Description: partial 16S ribosomal RNA
Rfam family: Bacterial small subunit ribosomal RNA
Source: RNAcentral
CAGCAGCCACGGUAAUACAGAGGGUGCGAGCGUUAAUCGGAUUUACUGGGCGUAAAGCGUGCGUAGGCGGCUUUUUAAGUCGGAUGUGAAAUCCCUGAGCUUAACUUAGGAAUUGCAUUCGAUACUGGGAAGCUAGAGUAUGGGAGAGGAUGGUAGAAUUCCAGGUGUAGCGGUGAAAUGCGUAGAGAUCUGGAGUAAUACCGAUGGCGAAGGCAGCCAUCUGGCCUAAUACUGACGCUGAGGUACGAAAGCAUGGGGAGCAAACAGGAUUAGAUACCCCCGUAGUCCCUGUCUCUUAUAU